Molecule: RNA transcript, 2794 nt
Organism: Homo sapiens (human)
Lineage: Eukaryota; Metazoa; Chordata; Mammalia; Primates; Hominidae
Gene: ARHGAP11B
Gene name: Rho GTPase activating protein 11B
Exons: 11
Source: RefSeq, marked validated
GGUGGCUCCGGGUGUCUGCAGUGGAGCUGGGGGCGGAAGCAUGAGGCUAACGGCUUGGCUUCAGUGAACGCACCGGGAUGUGCAGGCCGGGAGGUAGAGGCAGGCUGAUGGGGGAGGGAACGAGCAGCCUGUGAGACGGGGUGACGGCGGCUACCAGCCCGGGCGGGCACCGGGACUGGAAGAGUUGCCUGAGCAGCCGGCUGGUCCGGCGGCCAGGCUAGGGCGGGGGCGAGCGCCCAGUUGAGCCUGCUGGGGCUGGAGGAGCGAGAAGGGUUCUCUUCACAUUUCAGAGCGAACCAGACGGACAGUAAGGUUUGGAGGAAGGGGGAUCGUUGGAAGUAGCAGGAAGUGGAGAGAAUCUGGCAAUAGGCGAGAAACCGAAAGAAUCAGAAAGAAGUCUAUGUGAGUAGCUGAAAGCAUUGGGUGACCAGAAAGAAGGUCGCUGUAAGUGAAGGAAGAGUGAGGUGUGGCUGGAUCAAAGGGCUAAGAGAAGCGGGUCUGUGUAAGUGGAUGUGAGUGAGGAUCAAGGAAAAGCCGUGGAAGUGGCCGGGGGUCGGGGCCGCAGAAGUGCCAGACGGGGCCGGAAAGCAGCCGAGCGGAGUUCAAAUUUGAGAGCGUUUGGAAAUUGGAAGACUUGGUGGCGAACGAGGGUCAGGACCUGCAUCCUGCCUCAGAGUUAUCGACGUAUCCGGAAUGUGGGAUCAGAGGCUGGUGAAGUUGGCCCUGUUGCAGCAUCUGCGGGCCUUCUAUGGUAUUAAGGUGAAGGGUGUCCGUGGGCAGUGCGAUCGCAGGAGACAUGAAACAGCAGCCACGGAAAUAGGGGGUAAAAUAUUUGGAGUACCUUUUAAUGCACUGCCCCAUUCUGCUGUACCAGAAUAUGGACACAUUCCAAGCUUUCUUGUCGAUGCUUGCACAUCUUUAGAAGAACAUAUUCAUACCGAAGGGCUUUUUCGGAAAUCAGGAUCUGUGAUUCGCCUAAAAGCACUAAAGAAUAAAGUGGAUCAUGGUGAAGGUUGCCUAUCUUCUGCACCUCCUUGUGAUAUUGCGGGACUUCUUAAGCAGUUUUUUAGGGAACUGCCAGAGCCCAUUCUCCCAGCUGAUUUGCAUGAAGCACUUUUGAAAGCUCAACAGUUAGGCACAGAGGAAAAGAAUAAAGCUAUACUGUUGCUCUCCUGUCUUCUGGCUGACCACACAGUUCAUGUAUUAAGAUACUUCUUUAACUUUCUCAGGAAUGUUUCUCUUAGAUCCAGUGAGAAUAAGAUGGAUAGCAGCAAUCUUGCAGUAAUAUUUGCACCAAAUCUUCUUCAGACAAGUGAAGGACAUGAAAAGAUGUCUUCUAACGCAGAAAAGAAGGGCGUGUACCAGACUUUAUCCUGGAAAAGAUACCAGCCAUGUUGGGUAUUGAUGGUCUCUGUGCUACUCCAUCACUGGAAGGCUUUGAAGAAGGUGAAUAUGAAACUCCUGGUGAAUAUAAGAGAAAGAGAAGACAACGUGUAGGAGAUUUUGUUAGUGGAGCACUAAAUAAAUUUAAACCUAACAGAACACCUUCUAUUACACCUCAACAAGAAAGAAUUGAUAAUGAAACAACCACCAUCGGUUAAAUUUGAUCCAAAAAUAUUGCAUCUACCAGCAUUUUCAGUGGAUAAGUUAUAAUUUCUGAAAGACCAAGAUUGGAAUGACUUUUUGUAACAAGUGUGCUCGCAGAUCGACUCCAGUGAGAAGAGCUCGGGGACCUCCUGAGCCAAGUUUAAUCUCCUUUGCUAUUUGUGCAUGGUGGCUGGUCACCAGGAGGUGGCCACCAGGCUUCUCCUUUCCCCGCUGUUCUAAUUGCUAAUCCAGUAUUUGCGGAUAGCUCCAAACUGGGAUAUGAGCAGCAUACCAGGUGGAAAGCACCGUAGAUCAAGUGUUAGAAGGCUCUGGGUUCCUGUUGCCUGUAAGACUUGGCCAAAUGAUUAUCUUUUUCUCAUUCUCUGUUUCCUGGGGAGGGUGAGUGGAACAAGGAAAUGACAUAGGUUUAGGAUUCAGACAGACCUGGGUGUGGAUCAAAGAUCUGUGUUCUGGGCCAAUUACUUUAAUUGCUGAGUCGAAGUUUCCUCAUCUGUAAAAUUUCGAUGGAGAUGAGAUAACUACUUCAUAGAUUUUUGUAAUUAUUCCACUGUGAAUGAGGUAAAUAUGUGAUACCUUGUAUAGUGCCUGAUUCUUAGUGGGUAUUUCACUUACAAUGGGGUUGGGGUUGUAGAAGUUGCAGUUAUUAUCAUGAAGCUUGCUUAUCUCAUGACUGUUAGGAAAAGCACAUGAAAAAACGGAGGUGAAAGGAUUUUGUGAAUUGUGGCAGUGGUAUAAUAAUUAUUCUUCGAUGCUGGUAAAAUAUGGGUGAAACAAUAGGAGUUUAGAAAAUGCUUAAUAAUAAGGGUAAUUCUUAUUAUACAUCUUGUAAUGUUACUCUCCCAAAGUAAAAUCUGGUAAUAGAAAGUAGGAUUUAAUACUUUGAGCAUUUAAUACUUUGAGAAGGCUUAUGGUAUGCUCAUUAAAAAUGAAUCAAUGAAAUAUUUAUUUAAACACUUUUAUUUAAAACAUGUUAUACCCUUGAAUGGCGUGCCCCCUGUUGACAUUUUCAAACAGACAUUCCAAAUCAUUUCCAAGUACAGUCAUCCCUCUGUAUCAGCCCGGAGAUUGGUUCUAGUAUCCCCUUGGAUACCAAAAUUCACACAUACUAUUUUUCCUCUGCUUUUAAGAAUUGAAGUUUGAUUGUAAAACUGUUUUAAUUUGAAUAAAAUGAUACUGAGGUAGACAA